Molecule: ribosomal RNA, 226 nt
Filed under: uncultured bacterium
Lineage: Bacteria
Description: partial 16S ribosomal RNA
Rfam family: Bacterial small subunit ribosomal RNA
Source: RNAcentral
GCGUUGUUCGGAUUUACUGGGCGUAAAGGGCGCGUAGGCGGCGUGACAAGUCACUUGUGAAAUCUCCGGGCUUAACUCGGAACGGCCAAGUGAUACUGUCGUGCUAGAGUGCAGAAGGGGCAAUCGGAAUUCUUGGUGUAGCGGAGAAAUGCGUAGAUAUCAAGAGGAACACCAGAGGCGAAGGCGGAUUGCUGGGCUGACACUGACGCUGAGGCGCGAAAGCUAG